GUGGAAAUGAUGACAGUGGAAAUUGUUAGUGAAGAAAUGAUUGAUCAUCGCAACCCUGUCGCGCAGGGACUCCCUCUUCCUCAAAGGCAGGUAGGUCGAGGCCCUGCAGCACACCUUGCCACGCAGCAAUGGACCCAAGUAGGGCAUACCAUAGCUCCCACAUCCGAACAGGCCCUAGCUUCCGCCACAUUAAAUGCAGUGCCGGUGCUGGCAUAUGAUAAUGCCCCUGCUGAAGCGGGACCAUCUGGGAGAACUGAUAACAAUAAGAAGAAGAAAAAGAGGUCAAACAGACGCUUGGCAAGAGCAAGGUUUUGUACUUUCCAUCAACUAUAUGGGCAUGACACUAGUGAGUGUCGUGAUGCCAAUCGGUGCCUUGAUUGAAGCAACUCUCACACUUCCAGCAGAAACGAACACCCUCGCAGAUUCACCUCCCCGAGGAGGGGAGGGAGAGGUCACCAGGAAAAAUCUCCUCAGGAACCGAGGCCAAUCCAGGCAGGGGAACCAAGCCCAAUUUUUGGGAGGCCAGGUCAUCAGGGAAAUCGAUACCAUCAUUGGGGGACCCCACAUCGGUGGCAACACCAGGAAUGCCCAGAGAAAUUACACAAGAAAAGCAAAAGAUCCCCCGAUGAUCACUUACAUUGUUAACGAAUCGAAAUCAGCAAAUAAGAUGGCCCCGAUCACCUUCUCCCAGGAAGACUCAGAGGGAGUUCACCACCCCCAUUGCGAUGCUUUGGUUGUAAGAGCCGUAGUAGCUAGAAACGGAUUAAAAUGCAUGCUCGUUGACAAUGGCAGUUCCGUGAACAUAUUGUUC
Molecule: long non-coding RNA, 811 nt
Filed under: Olea europaea subsp. europaea
Lineage: Eukaryota; Viridiplantae; Streptophyta; Magnoliopsida; Lamiales; Oleaceae
Source: RNAcentral